This 429-nucleotide ribosomal RNA is filed under the name bacterium. RNAcentral describes it as "partial 16S ribosomal RNA". It matches the Rfam family "Bacterial small subunit ribosomal RNA", at positions 355 to 776 of the family's 1533-position model. The record is from RNAcentral.
UAGGGAAUCUUCGGCAAUGGGGGCAACCCUGACCGAGCAACGCCGCGUGAGUGAAGAAGGUUUUCGGAUCGUAAAGCUCUGUUGUAAGAGAAGAACGUGUGUGAGAGUGGAAAGUUCACACAGUGACGGUAACUUACCAGAAAGGGACGGCUAACUACGUGCCAGCAGCCGAGGUAAUACGUAGGUCCCGAGCGUUGUCCGGAUUUAUUGGGCGUAAAGCGAGCGCAGGCGGUUUUAUAAGUCUGAAGUUAAAGGCAGUGGCUUAACCAUUGUUCGCUUUGGAAACUGUUAAACUUGAGUGCAGAAGGGGAGAGUGGAAUUCCAUGUGUAGCGGUGAAAUGCGUAGAUAUAUGGAGGAACACCGGUGGCGAAAGCGGCUCUCUGGUCUGUAACUGACGCUGAGGCUCGAAAGCGUGGGGAGCAAACAGG